RNAcentral lists this ribosomal RNA (439 nucleotides) under uncultured bacterium. RNAcentral describes it as "partial 16S ribosomal RNA". It matches the Rfam family "Bacterial small subunit ribosomal RNA", at positions 339 to 795 of the family's 1533-position model. The record is from RNAcentral.
CUACGGGCGGCUGCAGUGAGGAAUAUUGCACAAUGGGGGGAACCCUGAUGCAGCAACGCCGCGUGGAGGAUGACGCAUUUCAGUGUGUAAACUCCUUUUAUAUGUCAAGAAAAUGACGGUAGCAUAUGAAUAAGCACCGGCUAACUCCGUGCCAGCAGCCGCGGUAAUACGGAGGGUGCAAGCGUUACUCGGAAUCACUGGGCGUAAAGGACGCGUAGGCGGGUUGGAAAGUCAGGUGUGAAAUCCUACAGCUUAACUGUAGAACUGCACUUUAAACUUCUAAUCUAGAGUAUGGGAGGGGGAGAUGGAAUUAGUGGUGUAGGGGUAAAAUCCGUAGAUAUCACUAGGAAUACCUAAAGCGAAGGCGAUCUCCUGGAACAUUACUGACGCUAAGGCGUGAAAGCGUGGGGAGCAAACAGGAUUAGAUACCCUAGUAGUC